This 2095-nucleotide ribosomal RNA is filed under the name marine metagenome. Its description in RNAcentral is "bacterial LSU rRNA". It matches the Rfam family "Bacterial large subunit ribosomal RNA", at positions 851 to 2925 of the family's 2925-position model. The record is from RNAcentral.
GGUUCUCCUCAGAAGCUAUUUAGGUAGCGCCUCGAGCGAAUACCAUUGGGGGGUAGAGCACUGUUAAGGCUAGGGGGUCAUCCCGACUUACCAACCCUUUGCAAACUCCGAAUACCAAUGAGUACUACUCGGGAGACAGACGGCGGGUGCUAACGUCCGUCGUCAAAAGGGAAACAACCCAGACCGUCAGCUAAGGUCCCAAAGUGUAUGUUAAGUGGGAAACGAUGUGGGAAGGCUUAGACAGCUAGGAUGUUGGCUUAGAAGCAGCCAUCAUUUAAAGAAAGCGUAAUAGCUCACUAGUCGAGUCGGCCUGCGCGGAAGAUGUAACGGGGCUAAACAUACCACCGAAGCUACGGGUGCAAUUCAUUAGAGUUGCGCGGUAGAGGAGCGUUCUGUAAGCCGUUGAAGGUGAAGGGGUAACCCACACUGGAGGUAUCAGAAGUGCGAAUGCUGACAUGAGUAACGAUAAAGGGGGUGAAAAACCCCCUCGCCGAAAGACCAAGGGUUCCUGUCCAACGUUAAUCGGGGCAGGGUGAGUCGACCCCUAAGGUGAGGCCGAAAGGCGUAAUCGAUGGGAAACAGAUUAAUAUUUCUGUACUUCCGCUAACUGCGAUGGAGAGACGGAGAAGGCUAGGCUAGCGCGGCGUUGGUAGUCCGCGUUUAAGGUGGUAGGUGGGUGACUUAGGCAAAUCCGGGUCACUAUACACUGAGAGCUGAUGACGAGUCCCCAAGGGGAUGAAGUAGUUGAUGCCAUGCUUCCAGGAAAAUCUUCUAAGCUUCAGGUUAGCGGGAAUCGUACCCCAAACCGACACAGGUGGUCGGGUAGAGAAUACCAAGGCGCUUGAGAGAACUCGGCUGAAGGAACUAGGCAAAAUGGUACCGUAACUUCGGGAGAAGGUACGCUCUUGUUGGUGAUGAGACUUGCUCUCUAAGCUGACGGGAGUCGCAGAUACCAGGUGGCUGCAACUGUUUAUCAAAAACACAGCACUGUGCAAACUCGCAAGAGGAAGUAUACGGUGUGACGCCUGCCCGGUGCCGGAAGGUUAAUUGAUUGGGUUAUCGCAAGAGAAGCUCAUGAUCGAAGCCCCGGUAAACGGCGGCCGUAACUAUAACGGUCCUAAGGUAGCGAAAUUCCUUGUCGGGUAAGUUCCGACCUGCACGAAUGGCGUAAUGAUGGCCACGCUGUCUCCAGCCGAGACUCAGUGAAGUUGAAAUUGCGGUGAAGAUGCCGUAUACCCGCGGCUAGACGGAAAGACCCCGUGAACCUUUACUAUAGCUUGGCACUGAACAUUGACCCUACAUGUGUAGGAUAGGUGGGAGACUAUGAAGUUGGAACGCUAGUUCUGAUGGAGUCGUCCUUGAAAUACCACCCUUGUAGUGUUGAUGUUCUAACUUGGCCCCAUUAUCUGGGGUAAGGACAGUGCCUGGUGGGUAGUUUGACUGGGGCGGUCUCCUCCCAAAGAGUAACGGAGGAGCACGAAGGUUGGCUAAGUACGGUCGGACAUCGUACGGUUAGUGCAAUGGCAUAAGCCAGCUUAACUGCGAGACAGACACGUCGAGCAGGUACGAAAGUAGGUCAUAGUGAUCCGGUGGUUCUGAAUGGAAGGGCCAUCGCUCAACGGAUAAAAGGUACUCCGGGGAUAACAGGCUGAUACCGCCCAAGAGUUCAUAUCGACGGCGGUGUUUGGCACCUCGAUGUCGGCUCAUCACAUCCUGGGGCUGAAGUCGGUCCCAAGGGUAUGGCUGUUCGCCAUUUAAAGUGGUACGCGAGCUGGGUUCAGAACGUCGUGAGACAGUUCGGUCCCUAUCUGCCGUGGGCGUUGGAUGAUUGAGGGGAGUUGCUCCUAGUACGAGAGGACCGGAGUGAACGAACCGCUGGUGUUCGGGUUGUCAUGCCAAUGGCAUUGCCCGGUAGCUAUGUUCGGAAUCGAUAACCGCUGAAAGCAUCUAAGCGGGAAGCGAGCCCCAAGAUGAGUCAUCCCUUGGACUAUAAGUCCACUAAAGAGCCGUUCGAGACUAGGACGUUGAUAGGUCAGGUGUGUAAGCGUUGUGAGGCGUUGAGCUAACUGAUACUAAUGACUCGAGAGGCUUAACC